AAAAUCAUUUUUAUAAUAUAAAAUUCUAAAGUAUAAUAAGAUUAGAAUUCGAUAUGGGAUAACCAAUAAAAUCUUAAGUUCUUUGCUAAGCACUUUAGCUCUCACGUUGUGCAAUUAGAAAAGAUUAUUACUGCUGUAAAUAACACCUUAAGAAAUUAUCUUUAAGAUAUUCAUUAACAAUUUUUAGAAAAAUAAAAAGAAUUAGUUUAUUUAAUGAAAGUUGAAAAUUUUCAAAUAUGUUUUAAAUGCUAUUUAUGUAUGAAAUAAGGGAGCAAGGUAUAGCCCUAUUACCCAACCCUAACUAUCUUUUUAUUUGUUUGCGGCAAAGAUAAGGUAAAAAAAAUUGAUAAAAGAAAGACAAAAUAAUAAUUUUGAAAGAAAAAAAAUUAAAAUAAUAAUUAAAUGUGAUUAAUUAUUAUAUAAUAAGAGAAAUAAAAAAUUUUUGAAUAAAAUCAUGAUCUCAGCCUGUCUCCUCUAGCUUUGUCCCUAGUUUGCGACUUACAAAAUGUUUCCAUAAAGAGUACGUGAUAAUUAAGGACGACGAUGGAUCUAAGAUAAC
This 559-nucleotide long non-coding RNA is filed under the name Durio zibethinus. Its description in RNAcentral is "long non-coding RNA (DZIB_LNC001074)". Lineage: Eukaryota; Viridiplantae; Streptophyta; Magnoliopsida; Malvales; Malvaceae. The record is from RNAcentral.